This 230-nucleotide ribosomal RNA is filed under the name uncultured microorganism. RNAcentral describes it as "partial 16S ribosomal RNA". It matches the Rfam family "Bacterial small subunit ribosomal RNA", at positions 524 to 753 of the family's 1533-position model. The record is from RNAcentral.
UACGGAGGGUGCAAGCGUUAAUCGGAAUCACUGGGCGUAAAGCGUGCGUAGGCGGCCUGCCAAGUCAGGUGUGAAAGCCCUCCGCUCAACGGAGGAAUUGCACUUGAAACUGGUGGGCUCGAGUCCUGGAGAGGGUGGCGGAAUUCCCGGUGUAGGAGUGAAAUCCGUAGAUAUCGGGAGGAACACCAGUGGCGAAGGCGGCCACCUGGACAGUGACUGACGCUGAGGUA